UUAACUUCCAGGGCCGAGAUCACGGACGCCGCGGCGGCCACGUUCGCGGACUCCACCGUGAUCCCCGACAGGUACGCCCGGCCGGACGAGGUGAGGGACGGGGUCGUGGUGGGCGACGACGAGAGCUACGAGCUGCCGCUCGUAGACAUGGCGAGGCUGCUCGACUCGGAGUCCUCGGAGGCGGAGACCGCCAAGCUUGGCUCUGCGUGCCGAGACUGGGGCUUCUUCCAGCUAACAAACCACGGAGUCGACGAAUCAGUUGUGCAAGACAUGAAAGAUAGCACCAUGCAGUUCUUCCGCUUGCCGCUGGACAAGAAGAAAGCAGUGGCCACCCGGGCCGGCGGCUUGGAAGGGUUCGGGCACCACUUCGCCGGAGCAUCCUGCGCCAAGCUGGACUGGGCAGAGAGCCUAAUCCUCCUCACGCAACAAAAGGAGCAGAGGAGCAUGGAGUUCUGGCCGGCCGAUCCGGCGACACUCAGGCCCUCACUGGACAGGUACUCGCUCGAGAUGUCGCGCCUCACGAGCCGCCUCCUGGGGUUCAUGGCGAGCGACCUCGGGGUGGAGCGGGAGGCGCUGGCCGGGGCCUUCCGGGGCAAGAGGCAGAGCGUGGCCCUGCACCACUACCCUCCGUGCCGGCACCCGGACAAGGUGCUGGGCAUCACGCCGCACCACGACGGCCUCGGCCUGACGCUGCUGCUGCACGUGAACGACACCCCCGGCCUGCAGGUGAGGAGGGGCGGCAGGUGGUUCCCGCUGGACCCGCUGCCGGGCGCCCUCGUCGUCAACGUCGGCGACAUCCUCCAGGUCCUGACCAACGGCAGGUACAGGAGCGCCGAGCACAGGGUGCUGGCGGACGCCGAGAGAGGGCGGGCGACCGUGGUGGUGUUCCAGGACACGUGCGUCGCCGGGACGGUGAGGCCGCUCCCGGGGCUCGGCGAGGCCAGGUACAGGGCGAUCGAGUACGUUGAGUAUCUCAAGGGGAAUUACAGGGGGCUGGCUGAAGGGACCAGGUUCGUGGAUAGCCUCGAGAUCAGUGUGGCGUAG
Molecule: ribosomal RNA, 1044 nt
Filed under: Triticum aestivum (bread wheat)
Lineage: Eukaryota; Viridiplantae; Streptophyta; Magnoliopsida; Poales; Poaceae
Description: partial small subunit ribosomal RNA
Source: RNAcentral